RNAcentral lists this ribosomal RNA (253 nucleotides) under uncultured bacterium. RNAcentral's name for it is "partial 16S ribosomal RNA". It matches the Rfam family "Bacterial small subunit ribosomal RNA", at positions 524 to 776 of the family's 1533-position model. The record is from RNAcentral.
GACAGAGGGUGCACACGUUGUUCGGAAUUACUGGGCGUAAAGCGCGUGUAUGCGGCCAUCUAAGUCGGGCGUGAAAUCCCACGGCUCAACCGUGGAAGUGCACUCGAAACUGGAUGGCUAGAGUCCUGGAGAGGAAGGUGGAAUGCUUGGUGUAGAGGUGAAAUUCGUAGAUAUCAAGCGGAACACCGGUGGCGAAGGCGGCCUUCUGGACAGUGACUGACGCUGAGGCGCGACAGCGUGGGGAGCAAACAGG